Megalobrama amblycephala (Wuchang bream) is the source of this 449-nucleotide long non-coding RNA. RefSeq lists it as uncharacterized. NCBI's taxonomy places the organism in Eukaryota, Metazoa, Chordata, Actinopteri, Cypriniformes, Xenocyprididae. The transcript has 3 exons. The record is from RefSeq and is a predicted model, not a curated record.
GAGCGAUUGGAGGAAGAGGGGUGCGUGGCUGCUGAUGGGCGUGUGGAGGGAGUCAGCAGUGUCGCUGUAAACUCGCUGAACUGAGAGGACGUAACUGGGCGAAAGGUCGCAGCCUUUAGGAGCUAUAUAAUAGUGCAACAUGUUUGUGCAUCUAGACAUCUUAAACAGAUCUGAAGACUUAAGCUGAGGUUCUUCAUCAUCAGCGCUCAUUAAAAGAUCAUCUGGUCAUCGAAGAGUGAAUAUUUUCUCCAAGAAGGAACUUAAAGGAGGUAAAUGAGGUUGAGGGGGUAUUUGAGGCCACUUCUGAUUCAAGACACUCUCUAUUUAGCUGGCCUCUUCCUGUCCACCAGACAGAUGGGCUAUUGGAGCACAGCCUGUUUCCAUGACAACUGCUUUGGAUACAGCUAGCUGAAAACCACAGGACACACAGACAGCCAAAUAAAAUACAC